GAUGACGUCACUUCAUCCCUCCACGUGCUCGGAAGUGAAUGGUCGCGAGGACGCUAUGACGCCUCCGCCUCCAGGCAUCGCGGAGUACAAACAUUUGUAGAUGUCUGGUUUCAACCUGUGGUCUGGCUACAACCGAUACAAGAUUAAUUUGAUUAUGUCACUCAGCAGCUCUACAAAACAAAGUGCUAAAGUCAGAUAAGAUCAUCAUACAUCUCCCAGACACAUGGAGCUCUCUUGCAAUUGGAAGGAAAUUCACCCAAGGGGAAGCCUCUCUGGGAAUUCUUUUUUGCUGGAGCUGCUGUGAAAUGGCUUCCAAGGUCAGUGUCAAUCCACACAAGUUCUCCCACACUGUAACUGUGUGUAACUUUCCCUGCGCAGAGUGCUUUUCCUGGGGUGUGGUCUUCAUUUUUGAGUGCAGAUGGGCACUGAGAUGGAUUCUGGAUUGGCCUGAGACAGACUGACUCCUGAAGAUUUAGUGAUUGUUCCACUAUAGACUCCAGUUAAGAAAUGCCAAAAUCCUGCAGGGCAGCAAUGGAAGUGGAAAGAAAUGGAACUUCCCUUGUGAUCCAUGUGCUAAGAUUGCAGUAC
This is a long non-coding RNA of Monopterus albus (swamp eel), 588 nucleotides long. RefSeq lists it as uncharacterized. The transcript is spliced from 4 exons. NCBI's taxonomy places the organism in Eukaryota, Metazoa, Chordata, Actinopteri, Synbranchiformes, Synbranchidae. The record is from RefSeq and is a predicted model, not a curated record.